RNAcentral lists this ribosomal RNA (481 nucleotides) under uncultured bacterium. RNAcentral's name for it is "partial 16S ribosomal RNA". It matches the Rfam family "Bacterial small subunit ribosomal RNA", at positions 29 to 523 of the family's 1533-position model. The record is from RNAcentral.
AAUGAACGUUGGCGGCGUGGAUUAGGCAUGCAAGUCGAGCGAGAACCCCGCAAGGGGGGACAGCGGCGCAAGGGACAGUAAUGUGUAGAUCAUCUGCCCUCAGGUCCGGGAUAGCUGCGGGAAACUGCAGGUAAUACCGGAUAACAUCUCCGGAUCAAAGGUGUGAUUCCGCCUGAGGAUGAGCCUGCAUCCUAUUAGCUAGUUGGCAGGGUAACGGCCUACCAAGGCAUUGAUGGGUAGCGGGUGUGAGAGCACGACCCGCGUCAUUGGGACUGAGACACUGCCCAGACACCUACGGGUGGCUGCAGUCGAGAAUCUUCGGCAAUGGGCGCAAGCCUGACCGAGCGACGCCGCGUGUGGGAUGAAGGCCUUCGGGUUGUAAACCACUGUCAGAGGGGAUGAAAUGCAGGUGGGUUCUCCCAUCUGUUUGACAUAGCCUCAGAGGAAGGACGGGCUAAGUUCGUGCCAGCAGCCGCGGUAA